GACGAACGCUGGCGGCGUGCUUAACACAUGCAAGUCGAACGGAAAGGCCCUGCUUUUGUGGGGUGCUCGAGUGGCGAACGGGUGAGUAACACGUGAGUAACCUGCCCUUGACUUUGGGAUAACUUCAGGAAACUGGGGCUAAUACCGGAUAGGAGCUCCUGCUGCAUGGUGGGGGUUGGAAAGUUUCGGCGGUUGGGGAUGGGCUCGCGGCUUAUCAGCUUGUUGGUGGGGUAGUGGCUUACCAAGGCUUUGACGGGUAGCCGGCCUGAGAGGGUGACCGGCCACAUUGGGACUGAGACACGGCCCAGACUCCUACGGGAGGCAGCAGUGGGGAAUAUUGCACAAUGGGCGGAAGCCUGAUGCAGCAACGCCGCGUGCGGGAUGACGGCCUUCGGGUUGUAAACCGCUUUCGCCUGUGACGAAGCGUGAGUGACGGUAAUGGGUAAAGAAGCACCGGCUAACUACGUG
RNAcentral lists this ribosomal RNA (468 nucleotides) under uncultured bacterium. Its description in RNAcentral is "partial 16S ribosomal RNA". It matches the Rfam family "Bacterial small subunit ribosomal RNA", at positions 28 to 507 of the family's 1533-position model. The record is from RNAcentral.